CCUACGGGCGGCAGCAGUGAGGAAUAUUGGUCAAUGGAGGCAACUCUGACCCAGCAACGCCGCGUGAAUGAUGAAGGUCUUCGGAUUGUAAAGUUCUGUGAUGGGGGAUGAACACAAUGACGGUACCCCAAUAGCAAGCCACGGCUAACUACGUGCCAGCAGCCGCGGUAAUACGUAGGUGGCAAGCGUUAUCCGGAAUGACUGGGCGUAAAGGGUGCGUAGGUGGUUUAGUAAGUUGGCGGUGUAAUUCCGGGGCUCAACCUCGGCGCUACCGCCAAAACUAUUAGACUAGAGUGCAGGGGGGGUAAGUGGAAUGCCUAGUGUAGCGGUGGAAUGCGUAGAUAUUAGGAGGAACAUCAGGGGCGAAGGCGACUUACUGGACUGUAACUGACACUGAGGCACGAAAGCGUGGGGAGCAAACAGGAUUAGAUACCCCAGUAGUC
RNAcentral lists this ribosomal RNA (443 nucleotides) under uncultured bacterium. RNAcentral's name for it is "partial 16S ribosomal RNA". It matches the Rfam family "Bacterial small subunit ribosomal RNA", at positions 338 to 795 of the family's 1533-position model. The record is from RNAcentral.